Molecule: ribosomal RNA, 515 nt
Filed under: uncultured bacterium
Lineage: Bacteria
Description: bacterial SSU rRNA
Rfam family: Bacterial small subunit ribosomal RNA
Source: RNAcentral
AGGACGAACGCUGGCGGCGUGCCUAAUACAUGCAAGUCGAGCGGACUUGAUGAGGAGCUUGCUUCUCUGAGAGUUAGCGGCGGACGGGUGAGUAACACGUAGGCAACCUGACCCUCAAGACUGGGAGUAACUACCGGAAACGGUAGCUAAUACCGGAUAAUUAAAUUCGCCGCAUGGCGGGUUUAUGAAAGGCGGAGCAAUCUGUCACUUGAGGAUGGGCCUGCGGCGCAUUAGCUAGUUGGUGAGGUAACGGCUCACCAAGGCGACGAUGCGUAGCCGACCUGAGAGGGUGAACGGCCACACUGGGACUGAGACACGGCCCAGACUCCUACGGGAGGCAGCAGUAGGGAAUCUUCCGCAAUGGGCGAAAGCCUGACGGAGCAACGCCGCGUGAGUGAUGAAGGUUUUCGGAUCGUAAAGCUCUGUUGCUAGGGAAGAACGUCUCAUAGAGUAACUGUUAUGAGAGUGACGGUACCUGAGAAGAAAGCCCCGGCUAACUACGUGCCAGCCGCGGC